GGGCGUGUAGCUCAGUUGGUAGAGCGUGUCAUUAGCAUGUCCACUGUCCUGUGGAGCCUUAUCUGUUCUUGACAAGGUCUUUGGUUCGAUUCCUAACUCGUCCA
Molecule: transfer RNA, 104 nt
Rfam family: tRNA
About the family: Transfer RNA (tRNA) molecules are approximately 80 nucleotides in length. Their secondary structure includes four short double-helical elements and three loops (D, anti-codon, and T loops). Further hydrogen bonds mediate the characteristic L-shaped molecular structure. tRNAs have two regions of fundamental functional importance: the anti-codon, which is responsible for specific mRNA codon recognition, and the 3' end, to which the tRNAs corresponding amino acid is attached (by aminoacyl-tRNA synthetases). tRNAs cope with the degeneracy of the genetic code in two manners: having more than one tRNA (with a specific anti-codon) for a particular amino acid; and 'wobble' base-pairing, i.e. permitting non-standard base-pairing at the 3rd anti-codon position.
Source: Rfam